RNAcentral lists this unclassified non-coding RNA (242 nucleotides) under Hevea brasiliensis (rubber tree). Lineage: Eukaryota; Viridiplantae; Streptophyta; Magnoliopsida; Malpighiales; Euphorbiaceae. The record is from RNAcentral.
AAGUCAAAGGGCUGGGUUAAUACUCUUGUUGGUGGGCAGAAGGAAGGAGCCCGAGGUUUUAUGUUUUUUAUCAUUAAUGUGGACUUGACCGAGGAAGGAUUAUUACAUGUUGAAGAUAUAAUUUUGCACAUGUUUCAAUACAUUCAGAAGUUACGUGCAGAAGGACCUCAAGAAUGGGUUUUCCAAGAGUGCAAGGACUUGAAUGCUGUUGCUUUUAGGUUUAAAGACAAAGAGAGGCCACG